AUCGCUUCUCGGCCUUUUGGCUAAGAUCAAGUGUAGUAUCUGUUCUUAUCAGUUUAAAAAUCACUGCACAUAUUAUACAAUUAAUAUACCAUGAAUACUAUUAACAUAAUGUAUAUGUUGAUCUACAGUAACGCUACUGUUCAGCAUUAGAGACCUAAACCCAUACACCAUGCUUCAUGGGAGAUCUGGGGAUUUUCA
This 198-nucleotide small nuclear RNA is filed under the name Panthera leo (lion). RNAcentral describes it as "U2 spliceosomal RNA (ENSPLOG00000020423.1)". It matches the Rfam family "U2 spliceosomal RNA". From Rfam's summary of the family: U2 is a small nuclear RNA (snRNA) component of the spliceosome (involved in pre-mRNA splicing). Complementary binding between U2 snRNA (in an area lying towards the 5' end but 3' to hairpin I) and the branchpoint sequence (BPS) of the intron results the bulging out of an unpaired adenosine, on the BPS, which initiates a nucleophilic attack at the intronic 5' splice site, thus starting the first of two transesterification reactions that mediate splicing. The record is from Rfam by way of RNAcentral. Lineage: Eukaryota; Metazoa; Chordata; Mammalia; Carnivora; Felidae.